Molecule: ribosomal RNA, 599 nt
Filed under: Variovorax sp. EECC-245
Lineage: Bacteria; Pseudomonadati; Pseudomonadota; Betaproteobacteria; Burkholderiales; Comamonadaceae
Description: bacterial SSU rRNA
Rfam family: Bacterial small subunit ribosomal RNA
Source: RNAcentral
GGCGGCGAGUGGCGAACGGGUGAGUAAUACAUCGGAACGUGCCCAAUCGUGGGGGAUAACGCAGCGAAAGCUGUGCUAAUACCGCAUACGAUCUACGGAUGAAAGCAGGGGAUCGCAAGACCUUGCGCGAAUGGAGCGGCCGAUGGCAGAUUAGGUAGUUGGUGAGGUAAAGGCUCACCAAGCCUUCGAUCUGUAGCUGGUCUGAGAGGACGACCAGCCACACUGGGACUGAGACACGGCCCAGACUCCUACGGGAGGCAGCAGUGGGGAAUUUUGGACAAUGGGCGCAAGCCUGAUCCAGCCAUGCCGCGUGCAGGAUGAAGGCCUUCGGGUUGUAAACUGCUUUUGUACGGAACGAAACGGCCUUUUCUAAUAAAGAGGGCUAAUGACGGUACCGUAAGAAUAAGCACCGGCUAACUACGUGCCAGCAGCCGCGGUAAUACGUAGGGUGCAAGCGUUAAUCGGAAUUACUGGGCGUAAAGCGUGCGCAGGCGGUGAUGUAAGACAGUUGUGAAAUCCCCGGGCUCAACCUGGGAACUGCAUCUGUGACUGCAUCGCUGGAGUACGGCAGAGGGGGAUGGAAUUCCGCGUGUAGCAGU